Molecule: ribosomal RNA, 617 nt
Filed under: uncultured Thelephoraceae
Lineage: Eukaryota; Fungi; Basidiomycota; Agaricomycetes; Thelephorales; Thelephoraceae
Description: eukaryotic LSU rRNA
Rfam family: Eukaryotic large subunit ribosomal RNA
Source: RNAcentral
AGGAAAAGAAACUAACAAGGAUUCCCCUAGUAACUGCGAGUGAAGCGGGAAGAGCUCAAAUUUAAAAUCUGGUGUGCCUCUGGCCGCCCGAGUUGUAGUCUGGAGAAGCAUUUUCCGUGUUGGACCGUGUACAAGUCCCUUGGAACAGGGCGUCAUAGAGGGUGAGAAUCCCGUCUUUGACACGGACUACCAAUGCUUUGUGAUGUGCUCUCAAAGAGUCGAGUUGUUUGGGAAUGCAGCUCAAAAUGGGUGGUAAAUUCCAUCUAAAGCUAAAUAUAGGCGAGAGACCGAUAGCGAACAAGUACCGUGAGGGAAAGAUGAAAAGCACUUUGGAAAGAGAGUUAAACAGUACGUGAAAUUGCUGAAAGGGAAACGCUUGAAGUCAGUCACGUCUGCCAGGACUCAGCCUUGCUUCUGCUUGGUGUACUUUCUGGUUCGAUGGGCCAACAUCAAUUUUGACCGUUGGAGAAAGGCCUUGGGAAUGUGGCACCUUAGGGUGUGUUAUAGCCCUUUGUCGUAUGCAACGGUUGGGAUUGAGGACCGCAGCACGCCUUCAUGGCCGGGGUUCGCCCACGUACGUGCUUAGGAUGUUGGCAUAAUGGCUUUAAGCGACCCGU